GCCCACACAAUACAACUCUUCUAAUCAUUAAAUAAUAGAAACAACUAAAUAAAUUUUAACAAAUAACAAGUACAGAAAUGGAAAUAUAAAUUAAUAAAAGUAAAUUUUAAUAACUGUACCUUGUGCAUUAUGGUUUUACAAGAAAAAAAUUUAAAAUUUAAAUCCCGAAUUCUAAGUGAGAUGUUAAACUGCUGUUAUGAACCCAUUAAUAACUGUAGAAAAAGUUUUAAGAGACAGUUUAACAGAGGCUACAUACCAUCCGCACAAGAAUAUAGCUGGUUUUCAACAAAAAUUAUACAUUAAACCAUAUAGUUAUACUAUAGUGUAAUAUUAUUGAGGAUAAGCCCAAUAAUUGUAGUAAUAAACCAAUAAACCAACAUUUUAUCAUAGGCCUAAAAUCAGCCAACUAAAAUACUUCACCGUAAAAUAAGUGGAAUAAUUAAUAAACAAAAAUACUAAAUAAAGUUGAAAUAGUGGGAAAAUCCCCAACCCGCCUAUAAUAUGUAAAAAUAAGUAUUAUGAAAAUAAACCAAAAACUACCUAGUUACUAACAACACAUACAAAACAAUAAUUAAUUAAGGAACUCGGCAAACCCUUAUUUCGACUGUUUAACAAAAACAUUGUCUCAUGAACUAAAUAUGAGAUAAUACCUGCCCAGUGACAACGUUCAACGGCCGCGGUAUCCUAACCGUGCAAAGGUAGCAUAAUCAUUUGCCUAUUAAUUGUAGGCUAGAAUGAACGGGCUAACGAAAUAAAGACUGUCUCAAUUAAUAACCUAAAAAUUAUUAUCUAUCUGAAGAAAGGUAGAUAAACUCGAAGGACAAGAAGACCCUAUAGAGCUUAAUUUUACUUAUAGAAUCACACUAUAAAAAUAUUCGGUUGGGGCGACCCCGGGCAAAACAAUCACCCACUACACACAAGAUAAAUUAAUCAACUAAUUGACCCUUUAAAGAUCAAAAGACCAAGCUACCUUAGGGAUAACAGGCUAAUCCCACUCAAGAGUCCUUAUCAACAGUGGGGUUUGGCACCUCGAUGUUGGCUUAGGGCAUCUACACAGCGCAAAAGCUGUAUAAAGAUGGUUUGUUCAACCAGUAACUUCCCUACAUGAGCUGAGUUCAGACCGGCGUAAGCCAGGUUAGCUUCUAUCCUCGACAAUCAAAUCUGCUCCCAGUACGAAAGGACCUGAAUAGAGUAAUAGUUAUAUAAAAGAAUACAUAUAAUUAAAUAUAAGUAAUACAUCCCAAACACUAUG
This 1252-nucleotide ribosomal RNA is filed under the name Duplodicodrilus acinctus. RNAcentral describes it as "l-rRNA". The stretch from base 559 to 1252 matches the Rfam family "Archaeal large subunit ribosomal RNA", at positions 1423 to 2904 of the family's 2987-position model. The record is from RNAcentral. Lineage: Eukaryota; Metazoa; Annelida; Clitellata; Crassiclitellata; Megascolecidae.